GCCAGAAGCUGCAGUGCUCUCCAGUGGAGACCAAGGACCCCCAAGCUCUCUGGGGAGAUGAAAACCUCGGCCACGAGUACGUCACCGGUGUACUUUGCUGCUGUUUCUUCAAGGAGAAUGAAAGGGACGAUCCUUAGAGGGGACUUCACGCUCUGCAGUGUGCUUUCGAGUUUCCCUUGGAGAACUUGCAAAAGAAGUUCUUGCAGAGCGGUGACAGGAGAACGAGCUGAUACCUGGCAGACGAGCUGAAUGAGAUAAGAAGUGGUGGCAGAAGAAGACAAUGCUCGUGUGGCGGUGGGUGCCGGGACUUGGUUGUGUCAUCUCUCACUUUACGCUGUUUAUACUUAUUCUACAUGUGUAAAUGUUUGCUGGGACAUUGUCGCGCUGUCUCUUAUGCUGCAGUUAUUUUGCACCUGUGAAAUGAAUGCCGUUUGCUCUACUUGAUAUAUGAGAAGCAACUGUACGAUGCCAUAGCUCUACAUACAGAAUAUAAAUUUCAUUUUCCC
This is a long non-coding RNA of Rhipicephalus microplus (southern cattle tick), 506 nucleotides long. The record is from RefSeq and is a predicted model, not a curated record. NCBI's taxonomy places the organism in Eukaryota, Metazoa, Arthropoda, Arachnida, Ixodida, Ixodidae.